Molecule: ribosomal RNA, 253 nt
Filed under: uncultured bacterium
Lineage: Bacteria
Description: partial 16S ribosomal RNA
Rfam family: Bacterial small subunit ribosomal RNA
Source: RNAcentral
GACAGAGGUCCCGAGCGUUAGGCGGAAUCACUGGGCUUAAAGCGUGUGUAGGCGGAUCGUUAAGUGCCUUGUGAAAUCCCAUGGCUUAACCAUGGAACUGCUUGGCAUACUGGCGAUCUUGAGCCACUUAGGGGCAACCGGAACAAAUGGUGGAGCGGUGAAAUGCGUAGAUAUUCGCAAGAACACCAGUGGCGAAGGCGGCUCACUGGCCCGAUACUGACGCUGAGGUGCGAAAGCGUGGGGAGCAAACAGG